RNAcentral lists this ribosomal RNA (111 nucleotides) under Fischerella thermalis WC157. Lineage: Bacteria; Bacillati; Cyanobacteriota; Cyanophyceae; Nostocales; Hapalosiphonaceae. RNAcentral also lists the same sequence under 1 other name. The record is from RNAcentral.
GCGGGUGGCUAUGGCUAGGGUGAUCACCUCUUCCCAUUCCGAACAGAGCAGUUAAGCCCCGAAGCGUUGAUGGUACUGGCGUAACAGCUGGGAGAGUAGAUGCCGCCCCGC